This 223-nucleotide ribosomal RNA is filed under the name uncultured bacterium. Its description in RNAcentral is "partial 16S ribosomal RNA". It matches the Rfam family "Bacterial small subunit ribosomal RNA", at positions 943 to 1167 of the family's 1533-position model. The record is from RNAcentral.
GGUUUAAUUCGAAGCAACGCGAAGAACCUUACCAAGUCUUGACAUCCCGAUGACAAGCUAUGUAUGUAGCCUCUCUUCGGAGCAUCGGUGACAGGUGGUGCAUGGUUGUCGUCAGCUCGUGUCGUGAGAUGUUGGGUUAAGUCCCGCAACGAGCGCAACCCCUGUUCUUAGUAGCCAGCGGUUCGGCCGGGCACUCUAGGGAGACUGCCAGGGAUAACCUGGA